Molecule: ribosomal RNA, 837 nt
Filed under: uncultured bacterium
Lineage: Bacteria
Description: bacterial SSU rRNA
Rfam family: Bacterial small subunit ribosomal RNA
Source: RNAcentral
AGAGUUUGAUCCUGGCUCAGGACGAACGCUGGCGGCGUGCUUAACACAUGCAAGUCGAACGGGGAUUUUUAUUUCGGUAGAAAUUCUAGUGGCAAACGGGUGAGUAACGCGUAGACAACCUGCCUUUCCGAUGGGGACAACAGUUCGAAAGGACUGCUAAUACCGAAUGACGUGUCUCCUCCGCAUGGAAGAGAUACCAAAGACGGCCUCUAUUUAUAAGCUGUCGCGGAAAGAUGGGUCUGCGUCUGAUUAGCUUGUUGGAGGGGUAACGGCCCACCAAGGCGACGAUCAGUAGCCGGUCUGAGAGGAUGAACGGCCACAUUGGGACUGAGAAACGGCCCAAACUCCUACGGGAGGCAGCAGUGGGGAAUCUUCCGCAAUGGACGAAAGUCUGACGGAGCAACGCCGCGUGAGUGAAGAAGGUCUUCGGAUCGUAAAGCUCUGUUGUACGGGACGAAUGUUGAAGGCGUGAAUAAUGCCGUUAAAUGACGGUACUGUACGAGGAAGCCACGGCUAACUACGUGCCAGCAGCCGCGGUAAUACGUAGGUGGCGAGCGUUGUCCGGAAUUAUUGGGCGUAAAGGGAGCGCAGGUGGGAAGGUAAGUCUGUUUUAAAAGCGUCGGGCUCAACCCGAUGAGGGAACAGAAACUAUUUUUCUUGAGUGCAGGANANGAAAGCGGAAUUNCUAGUGUANCGGNGAAAUGCGUAGAUAUUAGGAGGAACACCAGNGGCGAANGCGGCUUUCUGGACUGNAACUGGCACUGANGGCUCGAAAGCCAGGGGAGCCGAACGGGAUUANAUACCCCGGNAGUCCUGGCCGNAAACGAUGGAUACUAG